AACUCUAAGCGGUGGAUCACUCGGCUCGUGCGUCGAUGAAGAACGCAGCGAAAUGCG
This 57-nucleotide ribosomal RNA is filed under the name Pinctada imbricata (Akoya pearl oyster). Its description in RNAcentral is "partial 5.8S ribosomal RNA". It matches the Rfam family "5.8S ribosomal RNA", at positions 1 to 57 of the family's 154-position model. Rfam says of the family: 5.8S ribosomal RNA (5.8S rRNA) is a component of the large subunit of the eukaryotic ribosome. It is transcribed by RNA polymerase I as part of the 45S precursor that also contains 18S and 28S rRNA. Functionally, it is thought that 5.8S rRNA may be involved in ribosome translocation. Lineage: Eukaryota; Metazoa; Mollusca; Bivalvia; Pterioida; Pteriidae. RNAcentral also lists the same sequence under 1 other name. The record is from RNAcentral.